UGGGGAAUAUUGCACAAUGGGGGAAACCCUGAUGCAGCGACGCCGCGUGAGCGAUGAAGUAUUUCGGUAUGUAAAGCUCUAUCAGCAGGAAGAAAUGACAGGUACCGUGACUAAGAAGCCCAGGCCUGAACUAACGUGCCAGCCAGCCGCGGGUAAUACGUAGGGGGCAAGCGUUAUCCGGAUUUACUGGGUGUAAAGGGAGCGUAGACGGCGGUACAAGCCAGAUGUGAAAGCCCGGGGCUCAACCCCGGGACUGCAUUUGGAACUGUAGUGCUGGAGUGUCGGAGAGGCAGGCGGAAUUCCUAGUGUAGCGGUGAAAUGCGUAGAUAUUAGGAGGAACACCAGUGGCGAAGGCGGCCUGCUGGACGAUGACUGACGUUGAGGCUCGAAAGCGUGGGGAGCAAACAGGAUUAGAUACCC
Molecule: ribosomal RNA, 420 nt
Filed under: uncultured bacterium
Lineage: Bacteria
Description: bacterial SSU rRNA
Rfam family: Bacterial small subunit ribosomal RNA
Source: RNAcentral